AGUUGCAUCCAAAACGUUUAGUGUUUAUAAUCAAAAUGCCGGCAAUCAACGGUCACCAAACACCAAAAAAAGAUACGGACCUUGUGAAGAUCGAGACCUCGGAUCUUCCUCAAUUAAGGGAUUUGUUCAAGCCGCAAAAUUAUCCUGAAACGAUAUUCGUCUACUAUUUUAUAGAUAAUUAUAUAAAUUGGCUGAAAAAGGAACCAAAUAUAUCGAUAGAUUUUUACAGUUUGGAUGGUAAUUGGAAAGAUGGCACUUUCGUGGCUCAUUUACCAGAUCAAAACUAUGUGGUGACCUACAGCAGAAAACCAGAAAUCCAGCGAUGGGAUAAAAUGGCAAAUUCUAAAGUUUUAAAAUGGAAAGAAGGACUAAUGAUUGGUGGUUUGCAUAGUAAUUUACACAAACCAGUUUUGGAUUCUUUGAAGAACAGUAUUGAUUUGGUACCUCUUAAGGAAAUUCCUUGCCCUUACCAUUGGCUGCCGAAGGAGAAAGCUUUAGAGUUUGAUGUCAGAUGCCCUGAUGGAUACUAUUUUGGAGAUUUGAGAGAAGAUCAAGCACCGUACAUAAACUCAUAUUGGCCCCAUGCUUUCACAGAUUCUGUUAAAUUUGUUCGAGAUCAACUUGUUCUAAAUGGAGGAUUAGGAUUGUACGAAAAGGGAACUGACGAUUUAGUUUGUUGGAUUAUCCUCAAUAACUACGGAGGUUUAGGUAUGCUCCACACCUUGGACAAGUAUAGAAGACGAGGUUUUGGAGAAUUGAUGACCAAAAAUUUCAGUAGGUUUCUACGCAGAACGUCGUGAUGGGCAAGGUUUCGGAUAUUUUGAGGCCAGUAUAAUAGUUCAUGAGAACACUGACGUUAAAGAACUUAUUUCAUUUGACCGUAAUUCAUCUACUACUUGGAAGGAUAUGUAUUUGCUAUCUAACACAAAUGGAAAAGCAUUAAUGAGGUUCAACCUAGUAAACGACUACCAUGUAAAGUUUGCAAUAGAUUAUAUCAAGAUUUACAACUCCAAUUGCUUUUAUCCAACUCAAGUUCCACCAGGGACCACUAACCAU
This is an RNA transcript of Ctenocephalides felis (cat flea), 1056 nucleotides long. RefSeq lists it as uncharacterized. Lineage: Eukaryota; Metazoa; Arthropoda; Insecta; Siphonaptera; Pulicidae. The transcript is spliced from 7 exons. The record is from RefSeq and is a predicted model, not a curated record.